GUGCUCAUUUUGGCAGCUUGUACACUAAAACUGGAACAACAGAGAGAAGGAUUUAGCAUGGCUCCUGAACAAGGAUGACACACAAAAUCACGAAGCAUUCCAUAGUUUU
Molecule: small nuclear RNA, 109 nt
Organism: Dipodomys ordii (Ord's kangaroo rat)
Lineage: Eukaryota; Metazoa; Chordata; Mammalia; Rodentia; Heteromyidae
Source: Ensembl